UGUGUGUGUGUGUGUAUAUAUAUAUAUAUAUAUAUAUAUGUAUGUAUGUAUGUAUGUAUGUAUGCAUGUAAUCAUAAACCUGAUUCGAACAAAAUAUAAAUACAACAUAACAAUCUUUGACUAUGACCAACAUUUAACUUCUAUUGGCUGGGUCCACUGAAUAUCAAUGCACGACCCCCACUGACAAGGUCUACUAAAUACCAAUACACCCCCCAC
This 216-nucleotide long non-coding RNA is filed under the name Elaeis guineensis (African oil palm). Its description in RNAcentral is "long non-coding RNA (EGUI_LNC004899)". Lineage: Eukaryota; Viridiplantae; Streptophyta; Magnoliopsida; Arecales; Arecaceae. The record is from RNAcentral.